RNAcentral lists this ribosomal RNA (468 nucleotides) under uncultured bacterium. RNAcentral describes it as "partial 16S ribosomal RNA". It matches the Rfam family "Bacterial small subunit ribosomal RNA", at positions 28 to 507 of the family's 1533-position model. The record is from RNAcentral.
GACGAACGCUGGCGGCGUGCUUAACACAUGCAAGUCGAACGGAAGGGCCCUGCUUUUGUGUGGUGCUCGAGUGGCGAACGGGUGAGUAACACGUGAGUAACCUGCCCUUGACUUUGGGAUAACUUCAGGAAACUGGGGCUAAUACCGGAUAGGAGCUCUUGCUGCAUGGUGGGGGUUGGAAAGUUUCGGCGGUUGGGGAUGGACUCGCGGCUUAUCAGCUUGUUGGUGGGGUAGUGGCUUACCAAGGCUUUGACGGGUAGCCGGCCUGAGAGGGUGACCGGCCACAUUGGGACUGAGAUACGGCCCAGAAUGCUACGGGAGGCAGCAGUGGGGAAUAUUGCACAAUGGGCGGAAGCCUGAUGCAGCAGCGCCGCGUGCGGGAUGACGUCCUUCGGGUUGUAAACCGCUUUCGCCUGUGACGAAGCGUGAGUGACGGUAAUGGGUAAAGAAGCACCGGCUAACUACGUG